ACGAACGCUGGCGGCGUGCUUAACACCUGCAAGUCGAACGGAAAGGCCCUGCUUUUGUGGGGUGCUCGAGUGGCGAACGGGUGAGUAACACGUGAGUAACCUGCCCUUGACUUUGGGAUAACUUCAGGAAACUGGGGCUAAUACCGGAUAGGAGCUCCUGCUGCAUGGUGGGGGUUGGAAAGUUUCGGCGGUUGGGGAUGGACUCGCGGCUUAUCAGCCUGUUGGUGGGGUAGUGGCUUACCAAGGCUUUGACGGGUAGCCGGCCUGAGAGGGUGACCGGCCACAUUGGGACUGAGAUACGGCCCAGACUCCUACGGGAGGCAGCAGUGGGGAAUAUUGCACAAUGGGCGGAAGCCUGAUGCAGCAACGCCGCGUGCGGGAUGACGGCCUUCGGGUUGUAAACCGCUUUCGCCUGUGACGAAGCGUGAGUGACGGUAAUGGGUAAAGAAGCACCGGCUAACUACGUG
This 467-nucleotide ribosomal RNA is filed under the name uncultured bacterium. RNAcentral describes it as "partial 16S ribosomal RNA". It matches the Rfam family "Bacterial small subunit ribosomal RNA", at positions 29 to 507 of the family's 1533-position model. The record is from RNAcentral.